CACCACUAGCUUCGCCCCCUCCUCCUCUCCCUCCCAGUGCCCUCCGUGUGGUCGGCGGCGACCGGGAACGCCUCCCUGGGGCGCUCCGGCGAGCCCCGCGGCGGCGCACAUGGCGGCCGUGGUGGCGCCUCCCAGCACCGGCGCGCCCCAGCCGCGCCGUCCUGCCUCCGUCGGCCGCCGUCACCCCCCUCUCUACAUAAGCCUGACGCGUGGGCCCAUCUGUCCAACGCCGUCCGACCCUCCGUUCCCCUACACCUUCACCCCUACACCCAGUCCACAAACGCCGCUUGCAGAAGCCACCACCCGGUCCACGAACCGUGGACCACGGGUCCACGAAACUGUGCCAGAGCCGGCCCCCUCCCAUUGCGUCAGCCAGCGUGAAAACGCUAGGUGCUCCCGGUCUAGGACUUAUAUGGUGCUCUAAAUUCAUUCUUGAGGAAUGGGUAUCUGCACCGCUCUCCGUUGCGUAAGGUAAUCAGCGGGACCUUCAGAGUAAGGUCCACACACCAGAUGUCCGCAGCAAGAAACUCCUCGACCAGGUCAGGUCCGGUAAUAACUGAGCAAGCGAGGACAAAAGCAUCCUCGCAAGUCCUAAAGCUCUUUUUCCUUUUGAAAUUAGGAACUGUAACGAUGCUCAGAGGAGACAUAGUGCUAUAAAAAGGAUAAAAAUCUGCGCUACCAAAGUCUGAGGCAUAUCAAUUGUAACGUAGAGCUAGUAAGAAAGCCACUCAUCGUCCCAUCUAUUCUUUUGGGUAAAAGAAAGCUCGACUCUAUAAAUUUUCUUAUUCUCAUUCUUUCUUCGGGUUGUGAACAUGCAACAACCAAAAUGAGUCUCAAACACCUGAUCAUUAUCAUUGAACUGAACUCUCUUUCUCUGUAUGUGAAGUUCAAAAAACCUCGCAAAGCCAUCCACAUCAAUCACCCCACCGAAAGUACGAACAACCUAGAAGAACUUCGAAAGUGUCAUGAAGGCAUUUGGAGUAAGUUGAUGAAGCUUAGCUCUGUACCUAUCCAAAAUCUGAGGCAACAUCUUAUUGCACGGGAAUCUCAAGCCAGCUAUAAAGAAAUCCUAGAAAACAACAGCCUCGCUAGGUUGAGGAUCUAGAAUAAUUUCUUCACCAGGCAACCUCGCAACUCCUUCAGGAAGUAACCCUUGCUAAUGUAAAAAUCGAUUGUGAUAUGGGAAACAAGGGAAGUACCGAAAUGAAGCGUGGGCUCAAAAGUCUCUUUGCUAGUCAUGAGAUUCGAGGGAUCAGCUUCAAUGUUGGAUAAGUCUCCUCCCUCACUAUCAACACUAGAAGAAGCCUCCGGCUGUUGGGAACCCUCGGCAGCAUCUCCGCGCAGCCUCGAUUACUCUUCCAGCUCUUCAGAAGUCAUUAGCCUCGCAAUCUGCUUGGUAUGAGCCAGCUGACAAAAAAGCAAAAAAGAACAACUAAAACUUAAAGACAAGGAAACAAAUAAAGAGUGAAAGAAUAAAACAAAAUAAAGCAAAAGAAUAUCACCUUCGAGGCAGUAGAGAUUGUAAGUGUAGGAAGCACAAAUCUUAAAGAGCCAAAUAGCAGCAGAAAGGGAGCUCUCAGCAAGAUGCGAGGAUAGCCUCGAGAGACCCCCACCUUUUAUAGGGGAGGUAUCAGGUAUGAAAGGGCGCCUCGAACCAUGAUCCGAAGCCGAAGCGGCACCCAAUUAAAAAAUGACACGUAAGAAAUCCACAGUUGUCGUGGGAUCAUUUCUCCUCCGACGUUCGAGGGUGACUUUUUUUGGUAAGGCGAUCUCAAGGUUCGCGGGUUCGGCCCGUCGAAGUCAACCCUCGUCCUUGAGGUGCUACUGUUGGGGAUCGCCAAAAAGUUAAGCACCCUUGAACGACGGAUGAAGAUUUCAAACCUUAGCCCCGUCAUGUCGUACAUCAUGAACAUAGAGAGCGGAACUCUCCAACCUCGCAUGUUGUAUACUGAGUGCAAAACCAAUUAACCUCGCAUGAGACACUCCUCAUAACAAACUUGGAACCUUCGUACCUUCUCAAUCACCGAAAUGCUUCGAGGUUAAGGGAUGAUAACAGAAAUGGCUGGUCUUGCCGAGACUAACCCUCGAGUCUUCAGAAGGACUCGAAACAUUGUGUGUUACUUCUUGUGCAGGAAUGGAUAUGGAACAGUGCCACUCGAGGCUAGCUGUUUCAUCGAGACGUUACGAAGCUGGCACCUCGAGGCUAGGCAUUAAGCUCAGGAUGCAGAUGAAGUCCCAAGGCUAGCAAGUAGGAGGCAUGAGAAACGUGAACACGUGAAGAAGUUCAAUUUGUACACGUGUUCCCUAAAGAUCUUUAUAUAUGGCAUAUUCUAAGAAUGCAGUGGUUGAGUGAGAAUAUUUUAGGAAUGUAAAGUAGGCCAAAUGUUACUAUAAAAGGGAAGUCCUACCCCAUUGUAAAGGGAGAUUACUUUUUAUA
RNA transcript from Setaria italica (foxtail millet), 2437 nucleotides. It is a transcript of the gene named extensin-like, with no coding region annotated. The transcript has 3 exons. The record is from RefSeq and is a predicted model, not a curated record. Lineage: Eukaryota; Viridiplantae; Streptophyta; Magnoliopsida; Poales; Poaceae.